Molecule: ribosomal RNA, 1032 nt
Filed under: uncultured bacterium
Lineage: Bacteria
Description: bacterial SSU rRNA
Rfam family: Bacterial small subunit ribosomal RNA
Source: RNAcentral
CUCCUACGGGAGGCAGCAGUGGGGAAUAUUGCACAAUGGGGGAAACCCUGAUGCAGCGACGCCGCGUGGAGGAAGAAGGUCUUCGGAUUGUAAACUCCUGUUGUUGUGGAAGAUAAUGACGGUACUCAACAAGGAAGUGACGGCUAACUACGUGCCAGCAGCCGCGGUAAAACGUAGGUCACAAGCGUUGUCCGGAAUUACUGGGUGUAAAGGGAGCGCAGGCGGGAGAACAAGUUGGAAGUGAAAUCCAUGGGCUCAACCCAUGAACUGCUUUCAAAACUGUUUUUCUUGAGUAGUGCAGAGGUAGGCGGAAUUCCCGGUGUAGCGGUGGAAUGCGUAGAUAUCGGGAGGAACACCAGUGGCGAAGGCGGCCUACUGGGCACCAACUGACGCUGAGGCUCGAAAGUGUGGGUAGCAAACAGGAUUAGAUACCCUGGUAGUCCACACCGUAAACGAUGAUUACUAGGUGUUGGAGGAUUGACCCCUUCAGUGCCGCAGUUAACACAAUAAGUAAUCCACCUGGGGAGUACGACCGCAAGGUUGAAACUCAAAGGAAUUGACGGGGGCCCGCACAAGCAGUGGAGUAUGUGGUUUAAUUCGACGCAACGCGAAGAACCUUACCAAGUCUUGACAUCCCUUGACGAACAUAGAAAUAUGUUUUCUCUUCGGAGCAAGGAGACAGGUGGUGCAUGGUUGUCGUCAGCUCGUGUCGUGAGAUGUUGGGUUAAGUCCCGCAACGAGCGCAACCCUUAUGGUCAGUUACUACGCAAGAGGACUCUGGCCAGACUGCCGUUGACAAAACGGAGGAAGGUGGGGAUGACGUCAAAUCAUCAUGCCCUUUAUGACUUGGGCUACACACGUACUACAAUGGCGUUAAACAAAGAGAAGCAAGACCGCGAGGUGGAGCAAAACUCAGAAACAACGUCCCAGUUCGGACUGCAGGCUGCAACUCGCCUGCACGAAGUCGGAAUUGCUAGUAAUCGUGGAUCAGCAUGCCACGGUGAAUACGUUCCCGGGCCUUGUACACACCGC